UGUAAACCUGCGUUUACACAGUAAAAAACAUUGUAAGAUAGCAUGUGUAAACUUACUAUUAAUUAAUGUAGUUUUGUUUGGUGUUUGAAAUUAUGACACCGAGAGAGUUAGGCUCGUAUAUAAAAUUAAGUUUUAAUGAGUAUAGAUAUGGCAGAACCAGUAUUGGUCGAAGAAAGCGUGCCUUCAAAACUUUCAACUGUCCUGAAAGAGUUUAUCGAAUGUUUACCAAAGAAUAUAAUUCAUCAUGACUAUUUGAUGGCUCUGGUUAUCGUGCUCCUCUCCGAAGUGGGGUUUCGUGUCGACAUGCCGCAAGAGGAAGUCGAGGAAUCCAGAUGGUGUCAAUAUUCUAGCCGGCUCCUGAGAGACUGGAAAUCCCAGGAAUCCGGAACUUAUCGCAUUAACUUUCAUCUGCAUUCCAUUCCCACGUUGCGCUGUAGAUUCGUGGCCACCCCCAAUGGCGACGUUUUGAUCUUGAACUUCCUUCCAUCUGAAACAUCGAAUAUUGGUCGCAGCAUGGCUGUGCAAACUCUUAAAUAUGUAAAUCCAUAUUCCAGUGAUAUAAACGACAGGUUUUUGAACCUUAAGGAGUUCUCGCAAAGAUUAAAAAAUCAGCUGGCUACUCCGAUUCUAGUGUAUUUAUUAACCGAAGUAGGAUUGCCAUCGCCGAGUCUUUUGGGCCUUCCAGUGGAGUUGAAGUUACGGAUUUUGAGUUUUCUGGACAAACGCAGUAUCGGCAGACUAGCACGAACAUGUAAAGAAUUUCGUGACUUGUCUCAGAAUCAUGCCGUACGAUGACAAUCGUUAAGUUACGAAUAUCCAAUGCAGACGGUUAAUUAUUACGCCGCAAGUAUUUUGAAAUCGUUUACUACAGACUCGUCACCGUCGCCAAAAGAUGUCCAAUGAGCAAGACCGGAUUGCCACUCAAGAACGGGAUCGAGAGCGAAAUUAAAAGAUGUAAGCCGCCAAUAAAAUUAAAUGUCCUCACUGUGUAUAUAUAUAAUAUAUAUGUAAGUAUAUCCUCCCAUUCUCGCUGGAACCUUAAUAGUCUUAAUUAUAUUAUGUACAACCAUCCACUUGUACUUGUGACCAUAGAUCGAUUUGUUUUGCGUUCGGUGGACAUAUAACGUCAUUCUUCUUUAACUUGCAAACAUAAUGAAAAAUAAUCCAUUUCGUGGCAAGUGAUAACUUUGAAGUACGCUCUUUAGACAUAAUAACGAAGAUCCCUAGUCCGUACCAAAACAGUGAAUUUUGCUCUCCUCAAAUGAUUUCCAACGCAUCGUUCAGAUCAUGUACAAGACUAGAUUUGAAGGCAGCCGCGAUAAUCCGGUAUUGCCAUUAACAAACUUUUGCGCCCAGUACGCAUAUGUGACAAAGAAUUGAGAACGUUUCGAUAGUCCGUUGAAAUCUAGAAUCCUGAGCUAUAAUAUAAAAAAGCCGAUCCCUCGAGAGACAGUCGCCUCCGAGGAACAGAGUUCCAUUACGAUCCGUAAACUAAUUCCCGUUCUCGAGAAGAGCUCCCACACGUAAUUCUGGCACACACGCUAUGCACACUUAACCUUAAACUCGCUCGCGAAGAUUCGGCCGAACCUCGGCAAUUUUGCGGGGAAUCGUUCCGAAUUCCCUGAGCGGUUUGCCAGGAUCACAUUUACAAAAGCGUCCCUAUAUCCAUUAAGGGAGUCGGGUCGGUGAAGUGCAAUUUAAGCCGAGCUCAAAAGAGAAUGAAAAGACAUAGGAAACGUUUGGAUGUAGCUUUUCGAUUUCUCAUAACCUCACUUUGAUCGAGGCACCUCACAACGGACCGACUCCCUUAAGAUUCGCGGAUCGCUCCACGCUAUUGCCACGUAUUUUCCCUGGCGAGGUCGAAAAUACGACUUUAUACACAUAUGUAUAUUCCAGCAGAGCCGGGGCCUUCGACAAUUUGCGACAAUUGCGACCGUUGCAAAUAAUACUCGUCCGAGCAGGAGGCGAACUUUUCGUCGCCGUUCAAAAUGAUAAAGGGAUCCUCAUUCGCCCCUCAAUUUCCCCACAAGGGGAAGCCGGGUGUUUCUUUCUCUCUUUCUCAUUGCAACACCAUGCAAUCGCCGUUCAUAGACAUACUACUCCCUUUAAUCUCUAUUAUAUACAAAAGCAAAUCGCGCUCUCCCUCGUCCACCGCGCGGUACCUCGAUUUCUCUCUCUGCUUUGUGCCUUAAACUCUAACAUCAUAUGUCUCGUGUAUAAACAAUUUCAUAGAAAAUUUAUGUGAUUAAAACAACGUAAGUAAUGAUAAUUACUUCUGAGCACGAUAAACAAGUUUGUACAAUUUAUUAUGCGCGUCCUAAAUAGUCUUACAGCUAUGCGUGACACGGAACGCUUUUGUCGGAUCCGGAGAUAUAUGUAGGUUUACGGAUUGUAAUUCUUACGUUGUCGCCCCUCGGCGCGAACAACCGCAACACUCGCCUACUUUCUUCCCUCCAUUCGCGAAGUCUCCCCCAGACUUGUUAUCGCCUUCCUUAGUUGCGUGCUCGACAGCCGAUAACUAAUUACAGAGACUCGUCGAGAACCGAAACGCCGGAUGGCUCUUGGCCAUCGUUUUAAGGGGGUGAAUAGAUUAUGAGAUAAAUUUUAAUCAAUCGGUUUAAAUUAAAAAAAAAAAAAAAUUAAAAGGUACAGGGAACAGUUCCUUACGAGGCUGAUUUACUUCACGUUCUAUGGAGAAUUUAAGAUAGAAGUUUCGAUGCGAUUCAAAAUGGCGGACGCGGGGCUGGAAAAUUCUGAUAUAUAUUUUUUUUCUCUCCACGGUGUAUCUACUGACCCCCUUAAGCUAUCGAGCAUCGCCAAUCGCACACAUCAAUCCAUACAAGCCUCUCGUUAUACGCUUAUGUAUGUACGCACU
Molecule: unclassified non-coding RNA, 2875 nt
Filed under: Orussus abietinus
Lineage: Eukaryota; Metazoa; Arthropoda; Insecta; Hymenoptera; Orussidae
Description: uncharacterized LOC105696817, transcript variant X1
Source: RNAcentral